This 252-nucleotide ribosomal RNA is filed under the name uncultured Bacteroidales bacterium. Its description in RNAcentral is "partial 16S ribosomal RNA". It matches the Rfam family "Bacterial small subunit ribosomal RNA", at positions 524 to 776 of the family's 1533-position model. The record is from RNAcentral. Lineage: Bacteria; Pseudomonadati; Bacteroidota; Bacteroidia; Bacteroidales.
UACGGAGGAUGCGAGCGUUAUCCGGAUUUAUUGGGUUUAAAGGGUGCGUAGGCGGCGAGUUAAGUCAGCGGUAAAAGCCCGGGGCUCAACCCCGGCCCGCCGUUGAAACUGGGGAUCUAGAGUGUGCGAGAGGCAUGCGGAAUGCGUGGUGUAGCGGUGAAAUGCAUAGAUAUCACGCAGAACCCCGAUUGCGAAGGCAGCAUACCGGCGCCCUACUGACGCUGAGGCACGAAAGUGCGGGUAUCGAACAGG